CACGUAGGGGGCGAGCGUUGUCCGGAAUUACUGGGCGUAAAGGGCGCGCAGGCUGUUAUGCGAGUCUGCUGUGAAAUGUACCGGCUCAACCGGUGCCUUGCGGCGGAUACUGCAUAGCUGGAGUACUGGAGAGGGAAGUGGAAUUCCCGGUGUAGCGGUGGAAUGCGCAGAGAUCAGGAGGAAUACCGAAGGCGAAGGCAGUCUUCCAAGCCGUUAUUGACGCUCAACUGCGAAGGUGUGGGUAUCAAACAGGAUUAGA
RNAcentral lists this ribosomal RNA (259 nucleotides) under uncultured prokaryote. RNAcentral's name for it is "partial 16S ribosomal RNA". It matches the Rfam family "Bacterial small subunit ribosomal RNA", at positions 524 to 782 of the family's 1533-position model. The record is from RNAcentral.